GUGUAGCGCAAUGGUAGUGCGAAAGACUUCUAAUCUGUAGGUUGUUGGUUAAA
This 53-nucleotide transfer RNA is filed under the name Thalassionema nitzschioides. RNAcentral's name for it is "partial tRNA". The record is from RNAcentral. Lineage: Eukaryota; Bacillariophyta; Fragilariophyceae; Thalassionematales; Thalassionemataceae.